AUACCAGCCCCGCGAGCGGUCGAGGUGCUUACUGGGCCUAAAGCGCCCGUAGCCGGCUCGACAAGUCCCCGCCUAAAGCCCCGGGCUCAACCCGGGGAGUGGCGGGGAUACUGUCGGGCUAGGGGGCGGGAGAGGCCGAGGGUACUCCCGGGGUAGGGGCGAAAUCCACUAAUCCCGGGAGGACCACCAGUGGCGAAGGCGCUCGGCUGGAACGCGCCCGACGGUGAGGGGCGAAAGCCGGGGGAGCGAACCGGAUUAGAAACCCUAGUAGUCC
RNAcentral lists this ribosomal RNA (274 nucleotides) under uncultured bacterium. Its description in RNAcentral is "partial 16S ribosomal RNA". It matches the Rfam family "Archaeal small subunit ribosomal RNA", at positions 473 to 747 of the family's 1478-position model. The record is from RNAcentral.